RNAcentral lists this long non-coding RNA (1227 nucleotides) under Equus caballus (horse). Its description in RNAcentral is "lncRNA (ENSECAG00000055808.1)". Lineage: Eukaryota; Metazoa; Chordata; Mammalia; Perissodactyla; Equidae. The record is from RNAcentral.
GUGGUCUCGGUGUAUAAUGUUUUCACGUCGUGUCCAUGUAGAUGCCAUGUGGCUCACUGUCAGCCUGUUCACUAGUGAGGAGCUUUGUCUUCCCUGCCUCACAGUGCCAGCUCCCACAGCCUGCAGAGAGGUGUCUGUUCUCCCCAGAAGAGACCGUCUCUGGUGCAGCAGAGACAGAGUUUGAGCAUCUCACGUCAUGUGGCACAGGGGCAGCUCUGGGAUCACAGAAGCGACUGUGCGUUCUGCAGCUUGUAUCAUCUAGUGAAGGGCUGUAAAGUAAACUCUUAGACAUAAUCUGUAGAUAGCUUUCUUGCCCACUGUUGAGAAGACUGACCCAUCUUGGUCCGUGCCAAGGUGUUGCCAAACCUUGUAAUGCUUCUACCAGCUGUAAGAGAAGAUUCAGGAGCUGGUGUAGGACUCACUGCAUUGCCACCAGUUCCUACCAGAUUCUUUGUAACAGUCAACACCAUAAAAAUAGGUCAGACACUCAGGCCUGUUGGGUGAUUUGGGGCAGCUAACCCAGAUGUUGCCCCUGUGAAAGUCUCUGCAGCAACUACAUGGGCAUCUCUGUUUCACCCUGCUUCUUCGUCGUCCUUUUGCUUUGCAUCACAAAGGAAAAAAUCUACCCCUGUGUAGCCAGCGCUUCAAAUCCAACCCAAGCCAGAUCAUGAAGCAGACUGAGCUGUGACGGCACCCACUGGGAGAUCCUUCUGGAGCCGUGUCAGUGGACAUGCCCUAGACAGGAGAGAGGACCUGCCUGAGUUCCCUGACUGAGAAUGUUAAUUGACCCUCUAGGGCCUUUGUUCGCUGGUGCAUCCUGUGGCAUCUUCUCACCUUGUUAAGGGCCCCUUGAUGAGUAAAAUCAUGAGCCUUUUUGGGAAGUUUGGGUAUACUAAGCUCCCAAAUCCUCUGAGUUGUUAGGGAACCUGAGCCCUGAGUAAUCCAAGUCAGGUGUAUGCCUUUGGAGAAUAUACAUGUUUGAGGUAAGUAAUUUUCUGUCUCUGAAUCUGUUGGAACCAUUGUUAAAACCACGUGAUAUCAAAAUGAGGAAGUGAAUGUAACCUUUUGAACAAGUUUUUAUACAAUAUUUUGUUAAUUGGAGUAAGUAGUUGUGAAAUCACUGUAAUUGUUCAUGUUCUAUUGAAAUGUCUGUUAAGGUAAUGUUGGCAUAAAAUAGUUUUGCUAAAUUAGUGUGAAGUGACUUUAAUGCCUUUUGUCUUUAAUGUA